AACGAACGCUGGCGGCAUGCCUAACACAUGCAAGUCGAACGGAUCCUUCGGGAAUAGUGGCGGACGGGUGAGUAACACGUGGGAACGUGCCCUUUGGUUCGGAACAACUCAGGGAAACUUGAGCUAAUACCGGAUGAGCUCUUCGGGGCAAAGAUUUAUCGCCAUUGGAUCGGCCCGCGUUUGAUUAGCUAGUUGGUGAGGUAAAGGCCUACCAAGGCGACGAUCAGUAGCUGGUCUGAGAGGAUGAUCAGCCACACUGGGACUGAGACACGGCCCAGACUCCUAAGGGGGGGAGCAGUGGGGAAUCUUGCGAAAUGGGCGAAAGCCUGACGCAGCCAUGCCGCGUGAAUGGAGAAGGGCUUAGGAUUGUAAAAGUCUUUCGGCGGGGACGAAAAUGACGGUACCCGCAGAAGUAGAUCCGGCUAACUUCGUG
RNAcentral lists this ribosomal RNA (433 nucleotides) under uncultured bacterium. RNAcentral describes it as "partial 16S ribosomal RNA". It matches the Rfam family "Bacterial small subunit ribosomal RNA", at positions 29 to 507 of the family's 1533-position model. The record is from RNAcentral.